RNAcentral lists this ribosomal RNA (490 nucleotides) under Hordeum muticum. Lineage: Eukaryota; Viridiplantae; Streptophyta; Magnoliopsida; Poales; Poaceae. The record is from RNAcentral.
UUUUUAAUAUAUUUUUGCUCCACGCGAGAAACAUGCGUACGUGCACGGAAUAUAUUAAGCACGGUUCCUUAUUUUCAACGUUUUUGGUAAGUUUUAGCUUGCGGGUCAUUAUCCACGCGUGUCGGGGUGGCGCUGGGGUGGAAAAGUGCUCGGGUUCUGAAAGGGCUUGAAACCGCGGUAAAACUCUAGUUGGUGCGGUAGAGAGAGACGGGAGGAGAUCGUUGUAAACACGUGUACGUUGUUGAGCGGGAGAGUAAGUGGUACAGUGCAGUAUUCGUUAUUAGGCAACGUGGGCAAAGAGUGCUCGAUCGUGUUUGUGGUGGAGCCGGGAGGGGCGAGCAUUCUGGGCGAACACGGGGGUAACAUGUCGGAUGCCGAUCAUACCAGCACUAAAGCACCGGAUCCCAUCAGAACUCUGAAGUUAAGCUUGCUUGGGCGAGAGUAGUACUCGGAUGGGUGACCUCCUGGGAAGUCCUCGUGUUGCAUUCCC